This 468-nucleotide ribosomal RNA is filed under the name uncultured bacterium. RNAcentral's name for it is "partial 16S ribosomal RNA". It matches the Rfam family "Bacterial small subunit ribosomal RNA", at positions 28 to 507 of the family's 1533-position model. The record is from RNAcentral.
GACGAACGCUGGCGGCGUGCUUAACACAUGCAAGUCGAACGGAAAGGCCCUGCUUUUGUGGGGUGCUCGAGUGGCGAACGGGUGAGUAACACGUGAGUAACCUGCCCUUGACUUUGGGAUAACUUCAGGAAACUGGGGCUAAUACCGGAUAGGAGCUCCUGCUGCAUGGUGGGGGUUGGAAAGUUUCGGCGGUUGGGGAUGGACUCGCGGCUUAUCAGCUUGUUGGUGGGGUAGUGGCUUACCAAGGCUUUGACGGGUAGCCGGCCUGCGAGGGUGACCGGCCACAUUGGGACUGAGAUACGGCCAAGACUCCUACGGGAGGCAGCAGUGGGGAAUAUUGCACAAUGGGCGGAAGCCUGAUGCAGCAACGCCGCGUGCGGGAUGACGGCCUUCGGGUUGUAAACCGCUUUCGCCUGUGACGAAGCGUGAGUGACGGUAAUGGGUAAAGAAGCACCGGCUAACUACGUG